Molecule: long non-coding RNA, 405 nt
Organism: Macrobrachium nipponense
Lineage: Eukaryota; Metazoa; Arthropoda; Malacostraca; Decapoda; Palaemonidae
Exons: 2
Source: RefSeq, a predicted model, not a curated record
GCCCGCCAGAAUUUGCCCGUCAACCCCGGAGCACACCGAUCAGGCCCGCUCGUGUGGACAGGCCUGUAGAUACAAUAAUUCCAGGUCCAAUUGCGAUAAGAACAGAGGUAUCCAGCUUAUUGAGGAGAGGAAGAACUACAGAAGCAGUUUAGUAAGGUGGCAGAAGACGAAGAAAAAUAACGAAGGAAUGGUAGAACAGAAGGUCAACAGAAGAAAUAAACAAGAGGUCUCCAGGCCAUUGAGGAGAGGAAGGACAACAGAAGCUGUUUUGUAAUGUGUAGAAAAAUAAAAUAAAGGCAUUGUAGAAGAACAAGGUCAACAGUAUAAAGAAGGAAAGGAAGACAAUAGGUCUCCAGACCAUCUAGGAGAUGAAGGACGAUAGCAGCAGUAAGGUGGUAGAGAGAG